UCAGAGGCGUCCGUCCGAACCCGCGGCGCGGCCGGGACCGAGUCGCUCGCGUCGGGCAAGCCUCGCGGUGCGGAUCCCCCGCACAAUGCGGACAUCACAUCCACCGUCCCCCCUCGAGCCAACCGCUCUCCUUGUCGUCCGUCCAUCUAUCUGGAGGCUCUCCUUCUCGUCCCGGCCCCUCUCACAUGAAGUGUCAACACUCCCGGAGAGGAAAAAGAACGCAUUUUUACCUCCACUUCGUCUUCGCCGUCGCCUUCGAUCUGGUUUUGGUGAAGGAACAUAAAUGGCGAAGGAAUCAUCGUCGGUCCCGAGCACGCCACUUCUGAAGGCCGAGCUCGACAUCGUGAUCCCGACGAUACGGAACCUUGAUUUCUUGGAGAUGUGGCGGCCCUUCUUCCAGCCGUACCAUCUCGUCAUCGUGCAGGACGGGGACCCGAGCAAGCCGAUCAAAGUGCCGGAAGGGUUCGACUACGAGCUCUACAACCGCAACGACAUCAACCGCAUCCUGGGGCCCAAGGCCUCCUGCAUCUCCUUCAAGGACUCCACCUGCCGCUGCUUCGGCUACAUGAUCUCCAAGAAGAAGUACAUCUACACCAUUGACGACGACUGCUUCGUUGUUAAAGAUCCCUCUGGUAAGGAGAUCAAUGCGCUUCAACAGCACAUAAAGAAUCUCCUGACCCUUCCACUCCCUACUUCUUCAACACCUUGUAUGAUCCCUAUCGUGAAGGUACAGACUUUGUUCAUGGAUAUCCUUUCAGCCUCCGCGAAGGGGCUCCAACAGCUGUCUCUCAUGGCCUUUGGCUCAACAUACCCGACUAUGAUGCUCCCACCCAGCUUGUCAAGCCGCGUGAGAGGAACACGAGGUAUGUCGAUGCAGUCCUCACAAUACCAAAGGGAACACUAUUUCCCAUGCGCGGAAUGAACCUGGCCUUUGAUCGUGAGCUGAUCGGCCCUGCAAUGUACUUUGGACUUAUGGGCGAUGGUCAACCUAUCGGGCAUUAUCACGAUAUGUGGGCUGGUUGGUGUACCAAGGUUAUCUGUGAUCAUUUGGGAUUGGGAGUUGAGACAGGGUUACCCUACAUCUGGCACAGUAAGGCCAGCAACCCUUUUGUGAACCUGAAAAAGGAGAACAAUGGCAUCUUCUGGCAAGAAGAGCUAAUCCCUUUCUUCCAGACCGCCGUCCUUCCGAAGGAGUGCACCACUGUCCAGAAAUGCUACAUCGAACAGUCAAAGCAGGUGAGGGACAAGCUCAGCAAGACUGACCCCUACUUCACUAAGCUCGCAGAUACGAUGGUUACAUGGAUCGAGGCAUGGGAUGACCUCAACCCGCCAAAUGCAUCUUCCAAAUUGCCCGAUGGCCAAGCCAAGGCGAAGUAGAACAGUUUGGCGACUCUAAUCUAUCGUUCAAAACUUUCAAUUUGACAAUAAGAUGCUAAUCUUUUCCAAACUCUGUUAUGCUUCUAUCUGUGGCCAAGGACAGUAUUAACUCUAGGUAUUUGGUGGUGGUGAGGAAGGUGCCAUCAUGGAAGGAAGCAAGAGGAAUCGAUAUCAUAGUAUCAUCUUUGAAUAGAAUUGAACUGCAUCAACCAUCAAAUGGAGAAUGCAUCGAAGAGUAAAUGGCAAGAAGCCCAAUUCAAAGCAGAUGGAAU
Non-coding RNA from Musa acuminata subsp. malaccensis (wild Malaysian banana), 1649 nucleotides. NCBI's taxonomy places the organism in Eukaryota, Viridiplantae, Streptophyta, Magnoliopsida, Zingiberales, Musaceae. The record is from RefSeq and is a predicted model, not a curated record.